CUUUUUUUCAAGAUUUUUCUGUAAUGAUUUAAGUGCGAAUAUGCAUACCAUGCAACGUGCAUUAAGUCCCUACAAAAUUCUUAACAAAAUAGAUCCAUGUAUCGUCCCGAUUAGUUAGCUACUCGUAAUCUCAAUUUCAAUUAUUUUGCCAUUUGGCAGGUUUCUUUUUUCCAAUACUACAAGAUACUUGAAGCGUGACAAGUUUCGAAAGGAAUAAAACGUUACUGUUAAUUAUUAUCAAUCGUAAUUCAUAUUUAUAUAUCAUCAACUAUAAGUAUAAUUAUAGCUUGUAGCUAAUUUAGCGCUCGGCUUUCUUUCCACGGCUUUUUCAGGAUUGCAUUGAGAUUAUGUACGUACGCAUGCAUGUAUGCAUGCCGGUAAGAUCGCUCAAUUGCAUAGCGUUACGGGAGCGGGUGAUUUCAGUGGACGCAGCUAACUGCGAGAGAUUAUAGUUGUUAGUGAUCUCGUUAUUGGCUACUCAUUUCUGCUCAAAGACAUUCGCCAAAGGAGGUUAGAAUUCGUCAACGCGUAAUAUACCUUUCUUUUUUGGUAAUUAAAUCGUCGCGCGGUGCGCUAAUUGUACAAGGUCAUUAAAGAAGGCCAUGAGUGCUAUAUUGAUGUAUUUUCGCAUUUCGAUGCCGGUGAAAAAAUGGAAUUGAGCAAGCUCACCUGAAAAGUGUCGUUUUCUGAUUAUGCGUUCCUCGUUGAAGUGUAUAAUUUCAAAAAAAGUCGUUCUCUCUUAGCUGUGCAAUUACACAACAUGCUCGGAACCUUGGCUGACCGCACUGUUAGCGUAGUAUACCAAUUAUUCUCGGCAGGUUCAUUAAUCUUGAACAGUCUGUAAACUUUGCGAUUACUUUUACGGUUGCAGUCCUACAGUUUCCGACCAAUGCAAGCUGUCGGCACUUUCGUUUCAUAUUAAUCGAAACAGGGCUACGCGUUGACACUGCACUCACGACACGGUCGACGGAUAUGGAUAUGACAUGGAUACGGGAAGAUUGGGUUACGGAACUUUGUUAUCAAAAGAAGACCUCUAAGUUUCAGCGCGCUCGUCGUCCGUGAUAUCAAAGGACAAAAUCAGCCGCCUUUGCAGCCUCGCCAAUCGCCGAACAACGGUCAAACGAUCAACCACCGCUUGAUUGACCGAUGUACCCCCGCAUGCCUACGUACGUACGUACAUAGGCAGAUGUGCACGUAUAAUGUUCACCGUACGUUUAUCACUGUGUUUUUAUGGGUUCAGCUCAUCGUCCACGCCUAUCACGGCUAUCACCUGAAACCUGAAACGAUCGACAUCUCUCUACCCUGCGUAGAUUGACAAUUGAAUGUCGUGAUCACGUGAUAGAUUCCAGAAAAAUUCCCGGUAAUCGUGAUUGAAAUGGAGGAGUUUUACCUUAUAAACGUCACAUGAUAGAUAUUGGUAUUAACAAGCCGCCGCGGCGUCUCAUACUCUGGAGUAUUUCGAAAUUCGACAUCGGCUUACGAUCUGACCGGCGUGUUGGAUUUUCGGGGACAUGCGGAUCCUAACGAAGCACAAGGAGCUAAUUGAACGCGAUGCCAACGACAUUUCAAUACUAUGGAAAUUACUACAAAUGUUGUUCUACUGUGUUAGCGCAAUAGCCGGCUACGUCACCGCACACGCAUUUUUUAUGUUUCAGGUAUAAUUCAGCUCUGAUUUAUUUGACCGUCGUUGCAUAUUGUGGGCGACGCCGGGGUUGGAACCAGAUCGUAAAGUGUCAGUGGCAGGUAUCGUUAAUUACAGGAUCUCGUCAAUGGGACAACCUUGGCAAGACAGGCUGACAGUCAGUUACAACACUCAACAUCAUUGCUCUACGAUACAGAUAAUAUCGAUUCUUUCGUGUAUCUGUGGUAUUGUUGGCUUUUCUUUCUUUUCCAUAUGUGGGCGCGGAGGUUACCAAGUUGGAAUAUACUACAGUCCCUGGAGACUGGUUGGACCGGCUAUACUUUUCAACUUAUGUCUGACGUUGCUAACUUGGCGGUCGGCCUGCAAUUUCCAAGAGGGAUUCCAUCAUUUUCAAUACCGUCUCAAUGGGAUGCUAAAUCAAUCUGGGAAUGAACCCAUCACGGAAUACCUGCCGACAAGCAAAAAAAACACCUACAAUAGACUUGUGUGGAAAUAUUAUGGAAUCACAAAGGUAUGGCACGAUGACAAUUCUAUCACACUCCAAAUUGACAUCCUUACGUGACGCUGAUUUUAUCCAAAGAAUUUAUUUAAACAAAAUUUAUGGGUAAUAUCGGCCAUCCUUGAGUAUGAUUCUCGAUUACAAAUUUUGCGAGAUUACUAGUUUAAAAUAUUGAAACUUGCGCUUCGUCUCACCGCAAUACAAAAGAUCUCAUCUUGGGUGGAAGUUGCUGCCUGGGUCAUGGGACUUACACUUCUGGUACUACGAGUUGUAAAUGUCACCGACUUCAGGUUGAUGAAAACCUCUGUAUAUGCCCUCGAAACAGAAGACGAAGAACAUCGAGAUGAAUCUCUUCGCUACAGAUUCGAAGAAUCAUGAACUUUGGUAGUGCGCGUUAAAACUUUAACCGGUGUUUCUAGCACUCCUCGGUUUAAUCCAUUCUUACAACGAAUAAAUCCUAUUCUUUGCAUA
This 2612-nucleotide unclassified non-coding RNA is filed under the name Neodiprion lecontei (redheaded pine sawfly). Its description in RNAcentral is "uncharacterized LOC107223528, transcript variant X10". The record is from RNAcentral. Lineage: Eukaryota; Metazoa; Arthropoda; Insecta; Hymenoptera; Diprionidae.